UGGAUAUUCACCUAAAAUAGGAGAUUUUAUAACAUUUCACUUUUUAUUAGUGAUUAUGGUAUUUUUUGUUGUUAAAGCUGUGUUCACUGUGCUAGUACAUGAACAUUAUAAAAUAAGAGAACUUUCGGAUUAACAUGUGAUUAAGUUUUUCAUUUAUGCUAGCUCCACUUUUUCCCUCAAUUUUUAUUGACCCUUAGAUACAAGCAAAAGUAAGAGAAUAUAUACCAAAGUAGUAUUUUACAAUUUUACAUAAAAGUAGUAGAUUACCAAUAUAUACAAGGGGUAUGACUUACUGGUUAAUGAAAUGAGAUGCGAAC
This 317-nucleotide long non-coding RNA is filed under the name Nicotiana benthamiana. RNAcentral describes it as "long non-coding RNA (NBEN_LNC014515)". Lineage: Eukaryota; Viridiplantae; Streptophyta; Magnoliopsida; Solanales; Solanaceae. The record is from RNAcentral.